AUGCUUCCUUUGGUAGCACAUUUACAAAAAUUAGAAUGAUACAGAGAAGAUUAGCCUGGCUCCUGAAAAGGAUGACAUGCAAAUUUGUGAAAACCAUACGUCACUU
This is a small nuclear RNA of Mustela putorius furo (domestic ferret), 106 nucleotides long. Lineage: Eukaryota; Metazoa; Chordata; Mammalia; Carnivora; Mustelidae. The record is from Ensembl.